UCUUUUCAGCUGCACCAUCCAAGGCACCUCAACUGGGAGCUGGAACUCCACUGAGGAGAUUGUACAUGCUAAUAAAGGUACGGAAUAGGACAUUUUGGAUGGAGAAAUCUGCUUCUUUCUUGGCUUGGAGUUGGCUGAGUUAGUCUUCAGUUUCAAGGGAAAAAACCCCAAUCCAUGGAUUUUGUGCCUUUCUAAAUCAUUUCUUUCUAUGGUGAUUUCCACUGGAGCAGACCCUCCUUCUCCAGAGGGGUGGCAGCAUAUUAUAUGGUUAAUGAUCACCUUCAGACUGGUAUCAACAGGGACUGGCACCACUGCACUGAGGAUGGAAUGGGAUGGGAUGGUUUGGGACGGGAC
Pipra filicauda (Wire-tailed manakin) is the source of this 354-nucleotide long non-coding RNA. RefSeq lists it as uncharacterized. The record is from RefSeq and is a predicted model, not a curated record. Lineage: Eukaryota; Metazoa; Chordata; Aves; Passeriformes; Pipridae. The transcript has 3 exons.